This 74-nucleotide transfer RNA is filed under the name Equisetum arvense (field horsetail). RNAcentral describes it as "tRNA-Pro". It matches the Rfam family "tRNA". Rfam says of the family: Transfer RNA (tRNA) molecules are approximately 80 nucleotides in length. Their secondary structure includes four short double-helical elements and three loops (D, anti-codon, and T loops). RNAcentral also lists the same sequence under 10 other names. Lineage: Eukaryota; Viridiplantae; Streptophyta; Polypodiopsida; Equisetales; Equisetaceae. The record is from RNAcentral.
CGGAAUAUAGCGCAGUUUGGUAGCGUGCCAUCUUGGGGUGGUGGAGGUCGUAGGUUCAAAUCCUGCUAUUCCGA